Molecule: small RNA, 773 nt
Filed under: Histoplasma capsulatum
Lineage: Eukaryota; Fungi; Ascomycota; Eurotiomycetes; Onygenales; Ajellomycetaceae
Also listed under: 1 other name
Description: hypothetical RNA
Source: RNAcentral
AUCGCUGCUGCCAACCUAUCUACCGCUGCCAACCUACCUAUCGCUGCCAAUCUAUCUACCACUGCUAAUCUAUCGCUGCUAAUCUAUCGCUGCUAAUCUAUUGCUGCUAAUCUAUCUAUCACUGCUAAUCUAUCGCUGCCAACCUACCUACCGCUGCCAACCUAUCUACCACUGCCAAUCUACCUACCGCUGCCAACCUACCUACCACUGCUAAUCUAUCACUGCUAAUCUAUCGCUGCUAAUCUAUUGCUGCUAAUCUAUCGCUGCUAAUCUAUUGCUGCUAAUCUAUCUAUCACUGCUAAUCUAUCGCUGCCAACCUACCUACCGCUGCCAACCUACCUACCGCUGCCAACCUACCUACCACUGCUAAUCUAUCACUGCUAAUCUAUCGCUGCCAACCUAUAUAGGGUAAAUCAUGGUCCCAUUUGGUCCCAUUUUGUAAAAUGGGACCAAAUGGGACUGGGACCACUAAUUUAUUAGUAAAACAUGAUCUGGGACUAGAUUUAUAAUAUAAACAGUGUAAAGUGACUAAUUUACUAAACACUAUAUGGGACCAGGACUAAGAUAUCUAAUAAUGGGACUGAGGAAAAAUUUGGUCCCAGUCCCAUGCAUGGUCACACGGCCAGUCUAUUCUCAGCAGAAUUCAUUAUAAACUAAAGUAUGAGAAUUUAAAUCAGAAAUUUCAGAGAGAUAUCUGAAGAAGUUUUUUUUCAAAGUCAUACACACAUCAGAAAAAUGUGUAGAUAUUUAAUAAUAAACUGUAUAAAUUGAAG